GGCUCAGUGGUCUAGGUAAGCUCUCGAGCUGCUUUUCCACUAAUCUUUCACUAAUCUUACCUAGUCGUAUGAUUGCUGCUUCGGGUUUUCGCCCAGAUACCGAGUAUCGUGAAUGUAGCAGGUCCCGGGUUCAAAUCCCGGCUGAGCCC
Non-coding RNA from Didymella keratinophila, 149 nucleotides. Lineage: Eukaryota; Fungi; Ascomycota; Dothideomycetes; Pleosporales; Didymellaceae. The record is from the annotation of a GenBank genome assembly.